UGGCUGGGAACCUGCCCUGACGUGGGGGAUAACAGUUGGAAACGACUGCUAAUACCGCAUGACGUCUACGGACCAAAGAGGAGGACCUUCGGGCUUCUCGCGUCGGGAUGGGCCCAGUUGGGAUUAGCUAGUAGGUGGGGUAACGGCUCACCUAGGCGACGAUCCCUAGCUGGUUUGAGAGGAUGAUCAGCCACACUGGAACUGAGACACGGUCCAGACUCCUACGGGAGGCAGCAGUGAGGAAUAUUGGACAAUGGAGGCAACUCUGAUCCAGCCAUGCCGCGCGCAGGAUGACUGCCC
RNAcentral lists this ribosomal RNA (300 nucleotides) under uncultured Enterovibrio sp. Its description in RNAcentral is "bacterial SSU rRNA". It matches the Rfam family "Bacterial small subunit ribosomal RNA", at positions 114 to 417 of the family's 1533-position model. The record is from RNAcentral. Lineage: Bacteria; Pseudomonadati; Pseudomonadota; Gammaproteobacteria; Vibrionales; Vibrionaceae.